Molecule: ribosomal RNA, 272 nt
Filed under: uncultured Micrococcus sp.
Lineage: Bacteria; Bacillati; Actinomycetota; Actinomycetes; Micrococcales; Micrococcaceae
Description: partial 16S ribosomal RNA
Source: RNAcentral
CGUCNGCCUGUGGGGUGAGCCAUUACCUCACCAACAAGCUGAUAGGCCGCGAGUCCAUCCAAAACCGAUAAAUCUUUCCAACUCCCACCAUGCGGUAGGCGCUCCUAUCCGGUAUUAGACCCAGUUUCCCAGGCUUAUCCCAGAGUUAAGGGCAGGUUACUCACGUGUUACUCACCCGUUCGCCACUAAUCCACCCAGCAAGCUGGGCUUCAUCGUUCGACUUGCAUGUGUUAAGCACGCCGCCAGCGUUCAUCCUGAGCCAUGAUCAAACU